AUUGAACGCUGGCGGCAUGCCUUACACAUGCAAGUCGAACGGUAACAGGUCUUCGGAUGCUGACGAGUGGCGAACGGGUGCGUAAUACAUCGGAACGUGCCCGAUCGUGGGGGAUAACGGAGCGAAAGCUUUGCUAAUACCGCAUACGAUCUACGGAUGAAAGCAGGGGACCGCAAGGCCUUGCGCGGACGGAGCGGCCGAUGGCAGAUUAGGUAGUUGGUGGGAUAAAAGCUUACCAAGCCGACGAUCUGUAGCUGGUCUGAGAGGACGACCAGCCACACUGGGACUGAGACACGGCCCAGACUCCUACGGGAGGCAGCAGUGGGGAAUUUUGGACAAUGGGCGAAAGCCUGAUCCAGCCAUGCCGCGUGCAGGAUGAAGGCCUUCGGGUUGUAAACUGCUUUUGUACGGAACGAAAAGACUCUUUCUAAUAAAGAGGGUCCAUGACGGUACCGGAAGAAUAAGCACCGGCUAACUACGUG
RNAcentral lists this ribosomal RNA (482 nucleotides) under uncultured bacterium. Its description in RNAcentral is "partial 16S ribosomal RNA". It matches the Rfam family "Bacterial small subunit ribosomal RNA", at positions 30 to 507 of the family's 1533-position model. The record is from RNAcentral.